GGGGAGAUAGUUCAGCUUGGUAGAAUGCUGGCCUUGGGAGCCAGUGGUCCGGGGUUCAAAUCCCCGUCUCCCCA
This 74-nucleotide transfer RNA is filed under the name Candidatus Nanoarchaeia archaeon. Its description in RNAcentral is "tRNA-Pro". It matches the Rfam family "tRNA". From Rfam's summary of the family: Transfer RNA (tRNA) molecules are approximately 80 nucleotides in length. RNAcentral also lists the same sequence under 1 other name. The record is from RNAcentral. Lineage: Archaea; Nanobdellati; Nanobdellota; Candidatus Nanoarchaeia.